AGCGUUGGUACGUGCUUUGGUGCAGGGCCUCUUCUCGAGCGCUGAUUUCCAGGGUGCUGUUCCAGAUGCCAUAUCCAAAAUAAAUGAGCAGACCUGUGGGGCGAGGGGAAAGGUACAGAUAAGUAAACUGAGGCCCAAAGAAGUUAAGUAAAUUUCCCAAAGUCACAAGACAAAGGAGGGGCAGAGCUGUGAUUUGAAGUUGGUGCUGUUUGACUCCAAAGCUGCUUCAGUUGUCAGGAUGUUUACACGGAAGAAGCACUGGACCAGUUAUGCUGGGCUCCUGUUUCUACUCCAUCCCUGUAGAUUCAGCAUCCUUGUUUCUAAAAUAAAAGUAUUACACCAAAGACUCUCUUACGGAUCUCCUAACUCUGACCCUCUAGGAUUCCAUCUGUUAUAUUGAACUUUGUAGUAUUUUUUGCUGCAAAAUCUGUUGAGCACAGCUUAGCUUUUCUUUUACAUCAGUUACAAUAUUGUUCAGUAUUAUGGAGAUGCUGUCAGGGAUAGUGAAGCUGUUUGUCUCUACAUUAAAUGGCCCAGUCUGUUAUUUAUUUUGAGUUCCUAUGUCAGCCCUCCUCCCCUUGCUUUGUAAAUGUAGCUUUCCAUCUCCUUCCUUGAUGUCAGACUGUCAGUUUUUACUUCUUGUUGCUGUCCCAGUGCUUACCUGGAGCAGUCAGACUGCCUCUUUUCUAAAUUGCUGCUUCCAACACCUGAUAUUUAAAUUGUUAGAGUGAGUCUAAAAUUAAGAGGAAAUGGUCUUUGAAGAAGGCCUGAAGAACUCUUCCAUGGGGAAAGUAUAGAGUGUGCACGCAUUAAAUACAAGAACCUGAUGAUAUUUUCUUGGAUGCCGUGUGUUUUCAGGGUUCUCGGGAGUUGAGUUUGCACAUACGGAUUAGGUUGCUCUUUCAGUGAUGUGUGAGGAAGGAAGUGAAGAUGCAACUCACUUCCCUGCUUUGGUAUUGGAUCCACAGCAUUAUCCAAUUACUCCUAUAUUCUAUGAGCUUAUUCUCAUCACCCAACUUUACCACCUGAUAUUGUACAAGAUUUAUAAGUAAAAUCUUUUCCAAAUGAUGCUUUUGAAGCAGGCAUCGAUUUGAUUGCAAAUUUAAUUUGGAGAGCCAAUAUUUAUGGAAUUUGUGCAAUCAAACAUUCUCUCCAUAACAUUCGAUCUGACAAAUUAAAUUUAAAAAUACCCCCAUUUUGCCACCAGAAUACACUUGCCAAGGGUAAUUAGCAAAUGGCCAAGUCUUCAUUAGGUCUUGUGAAUGGACCAGUCCAUUGCUGUCUGAAUCAGAGAAAGAGGCCCUGGCUGUGCAUGGUAUAAGGAGCAUUUGGAAUCUUAGUCAUUUCCCAAGGUCCUGCUGGGGUCCUAAUGACUGUAGUUUGGGGAGAACACUGGGAAAAUCAAUCAGGCACUAACCAUACAAGACAAUUUCUGCUUCACGAAAUCGUUGUUUUGGACACACUGUAAAAGAUCUUAUAAUAUUUUAAAAUCUUUCUGAUUUGUUUGUAUGGAGAAAUUCAGACUUAGAGUGGGUACUAGAGAGCAUCUAGCCUGGCAUUGAAGCUCACUGGUGAUAAUUGAAUGUUUACAGCCUCAAAUAUCCUGAGAAAAAUGUUCUCAUUCAACUAUUUUAAAAUAUCUGGUAUGUAAGAGGAACACAUUUAAGAGUAUCUUUCUAAUUUCAAUAAGAAAUUAAAAGCAUGGAAAUGGAAUUUUAUUUUAUUUUUUUAAUUUUUUUUAAAUUUUUUUAGAUGGAGUUUCACUCUGUCGCCCAGGCUGGAGUGCAGUGGUGUGAUCUUGGCUCAAUGCAACCUCCACCUCCUGGGUUCAAGCCAUUCUCCUGCCUCAGCCUCCCAAGUAGCUAGGACUACAGGCAUGCACCACUAUGCCUGGCUAAUUUUUGUAUUUUUAGUAGAGAUGGGGUUUCUCCAUGUUGGCCAGGCUGGUCUCGAAGUCCUGACCUCAAGUGAUCCUCCUGCUUCAGCCUUCCAAAGUACUGGGAUUACAGCGUGAGCCACUGCGCCCGGCGAAACCUUGGUUUUUAUCCUAGAUUAUCUAGGGUCCUAGAUUACUGAGUGUUGAGGGGCAAGUUACCCUCUUAUGGAUGAAAUGAGACGGCCAAUUAGAUACAGUUUAGGGUCCCUUCUGAUGCAUCAUUCUUUGGUUUUACAGCUAAAGUCAACUCUUAAUCAUCUAGUUAGUGAGGGAAGCCCUGUAGGAAAUACUGUAUGAACCAAUGGUUCUCAGUGAAGGUGGUACUGACUCCUAGGGGAAUUUUGGAAAUAUGUGGGAGUGUCUACGGUUCUCAUGAUGAUUGUGGGCACUUGUGGCAUUAAGUGGACAGGGACCUGGGCUGUUUAUCAUUCUGCAAUGUGACUGACUCACAGAAUGAAGCUCUGUCUUGUAUCAUAUAUGACUGCUGAUGGCCCCAGUGGACAUUCAUUUAAGUACAAACCUGUUUAUAAUUUUUGAACUUGAAUUUAUCUCCAUUUUACAUAUACACACAAAGCAUUUUUUUUUUUGCAUGGCUUUUUAGACAUUGAAUUUUCCAGGACUGCAACAGCUGGGUAAAUUGAGAGACAGUUGUCUCUUGUUUGGUUUGGAAUUUACCGACUUGAUCAUCAUUUUGGAAGACCAUCAUCAACAACAAUGUUAUUCAUGGACUUUGAGCAUCAAAUAACUGUCCUAUAUGAGUCUGCAUUUGUGGCAGUUGUACUCACAGUGGUUCUACAAAUGACUGCAAACAACUGACGACUUCGUUGCGUCUCCUAAUGUACGCAUGCCCCA
Molecule: long non-coding RNA, 2788 nt
Filed under: Homo sapiens (human)
Lineage: Eukaryota; Metazoa; Chordata; Mammalia; Primates; Hominidae
Description: HSALNT0316115
Source: RNAcentral